This 72-nucleotide transfer RNA is filed under the name Pythium insidiosum. Its description in RNAcentral is "tRNA-Lys". It matches the Rfam family "tRNA". From Rfam's summary of the family: Transfer RNA (tRNA) molecules are approximately 80 nucleotides in length. Their secondary structure includes four short double-helical elements and three loops (D, anti-codon, and T loops). The record is from RNAcentral. Lineage: Eukaryota; Oomycota; Peronosporomycetes; Pythiales; Pythiaceae.
GCCGUCUAGCUCAGUCGGUAGAGCGCUGGCCUUUUAAGCCAGUGGUCGUGGGUUCGAGCCCCACGGGGGGCG